CGAAGCUCCGGAAAGUGGGGGAAACCGCCCUCACGCCGAAGGUGCAACCGGGCGAAGGGGGCCUUCGCCUCGGGAAUCUCUCAGGCACAGAACGGAGGCG
RNAcentral lists this non-coding RNA (100 nucleotides) under bovine gut metagenome. RNAcentral's name for it is "Glycine riboswitch". It matches the Rfam family "Glycine riboswitch aptamer", at positions 9 to 86 of the family's 94-position model. Rfam says of the family: This family represents the bacterial glycine riboswitch. Glycine riboswitches usually consist of two metabolite-binding aptamers domains with similar structures in tandem. The aptamers cooperatively bind glycine to regulate the expression of downstream genes. The record is from RNAcentral.